This is a long non-coding RNA of Odocoileus virginianus texanus, 995 nucleotides long. RefSeq lists it as uncharacterized. NCBI's taxonomy places the organism in Eukaryota, Metazoa, Chordata, Mammalia, Artiodactyla, Cervidae. The record is from RefSeq and is a predicted model, not a curated record.
CCCUACCGUCUAGAAACUUUUCAGGGGAAAAGAGGGCGUUUGACGUGUGGGUGGGUGUGCGGACAGCGCCGGCAGGAGCAGCAGGAGCGGCGAACGCCCGGGGCUGGGCUGCAGACGGAUGUAAAUUACAUUUGGCAAGAUCAGGCUCCAAGGCUCUCAUUUGCCCUCACCAGAUACUUAGAAUAAGAUUUCGGUGUGACAGUAAUUUUGCCAAUGGAGGUCGACUCCCCAAAACAUCACCCUGCGAAGCACAGCGCAUGUAAAGCUGCAGGGGAAUAAAACAAGAGCAGUGCUGAUGUGCUCGAAAGACAUGUAAGUGUUCCACUUGAAUUGGCUGUGACCGCAGAGUCAGCUGGACACUGUGCUCAUUUCCUUUGGCUCCAGUACCCGAGCUCCAGAGAAGCACAGAUUUGGCAAGGUGCUGAACUACUGAGUGAAAAUGAAGUCACAGCUUCAGAAGAGAUUCACAGAUUGCGAUGUGUAGGUAUUCUGUGUCACGUUUUAGUCAUUGCUUUUAGAAUGCCUGCUCUAAGAUGGUCCUCAAUUAUGGGACCAUGCCUGUGCCACAUGGUUUCCAGAGAGACUGAGCCAAAAGUGAACUAUGUUCUUUAGUAGAUGAAUAUCUAAGACAAGUAGAUGGAUUGCAAAAGUAUUCUAAAAUUUUUAGCCAAACUCUGGGCAAUGUUGGGUCUAACUGGCUUACAAAACACAUUCUUUUUCAGCCAACAGUGAAGCCAGCAUUGUUAACAAUAUGAACCAACACUGAAAGCCUUCAUCAUUAAUACAUACCUGCAGUCAGAUUUUGAAUGUGACCUGGCCAAAUAUAUUUACUCAUUCAAUGCUUAUUUAAAUAAGUGGUAGGCCUUGGAGAAACCUCAGUUCUUAUAUUCUCUCAUAGUGCUGUUCAGUAGGAACAGAAUGUGAGCCACACAUGUAAUUUAAAAUUUUCUGGUAGCCACAUAAAGAUAUUUAAAAGAAACCAAUAACAUUAAUUU